UGGCCUAACAAUUGUAUUUGCGCUGUAACAGAUCAUGCAGGUUAGUAACGUGUCUUUAAUGUUUAUGUGUUGUGGGGCAGGCGUUAUCUGAUGAACUCCCGAAUUAUAAUUAAAUUUUCCUUAAAAGGGUAUACAUCGGUAAUUGUGUAUCUAGAUCUUUCAUAGCACAUAUACAGCAAAUAUUCCAUGAAAGGAUAUGAACGUACAAAGGUGUAAAAGGGACGUACCCUUUGGGGCGAAAGGACCCAGGUUCGUAACCGGAAGUUCAACUUUCGAUACAAAUAAACAAAAAUCUUGGAAAUCUUGCACAUAGACCAUGCCCAGAGUUAAGAAGCAGUAGCCAAAAAUCGUCAUGUCUAAAUGUUAGCUUGUUGGUGGAGUUAAGCAAACAUAUAUCAUUAUCUGUAUAUAUCCUGCUAUAAAUUUUGCGUGUACCUACACACUUGUUACUAAAAACUGUCAGAGUGUCGAGUCUGUCACAUCAGUCAUCACAGUGACAUGUAUAGUUGCUACUACUCUCUAGCCUAAACUAGGUCGAUAUGCACAAUGUUGGGAAGAUCAGUUAGAAAGCGAAAAGUGCGACCUUGCUCUGCCACAACACCACCAGGGUUGUUACAGUUGGACCAGAGACAUAGACAACAAUGACACACCAGACUGAACUGGAUUCACGACUCAUCACGCCACUAACUCAACUCCUUUAGGUCACAUACAUUUGUACAUUGGAUCAUCGUCAGAUGUCAUUUAUGCAAACCCCAAGAGCUCUGCAUUAGUAUGUUCCAGUUCACAGUUGAUAAUUUACCAGGUAAUCAUCAGAUUUACAAAAGCAGUAUAUUACAAUGUACUUUUAAGUUAAACCCCUACAUGUACAUGUGAUUCUAACAUAUAACAAACAUAUGUAUAAAGAUUAAGGCAACUUUUAUAUUUAUUCCAAUCUUAUGGUUUAGAUUUAAAAGAUUUGUGUAAUGAUUAUAUCUCAGUUUCUAAACUUAAAUCCACAAAAUAUUGCUGAAUGUGUUAUUUUUACAAUUUAUAGAGGAUGCCACAUCAUGCGUUCUUGAAUAUAAGGUUACAAUUAUAUAUUAUUAUAAAUAUAUUACAUGUGAAACUUUUAAAUGUUGUUUUGUAUAUUAUCAUAUGAUUUGUGACAUAUGAUUUGUAAUGGAGAACACUAUUGACUAAUAUAAUAUUAUUUAUCUUGAUACAUAAUCUGAAUAUUACAAAUCGAUAUGCAUGUACUGCAUGAAUACAGAUGUUGCAAUAAAGUACCACAAUUAUAAAGGACAAAAUUUAUAGAAGUGUAUAUUUAUUGAUCACUAUUUUAGGACAGACUGCAAAUAUUUCUGUUCGACCAAACCCUACCAACCAGUCUUAGGUGUGUGGGAAAUUUUCAUUAUUUUUAAUUUUAUUUUUCUAUAUAUUUAAGGGAAAAUAGGGGCCAAAAUGGUUUUAUCUUGUAAACAUUUUUAAAAUGAGACUAUUACAGAGUUUUGUGUAAAUUGUCAGACGCAGAUAAGCGAGGAUAUAUACAUGUAUGUACAUCAAGGAUCCGGAAAUUUUUCCAGACAAUUUCGGUCAUUUUGAGAUGUUUGAAAAGUUGGUGCCCCUUUUCAAAUUGCCAAUAUCAACUUGACUAUAUUCAUAGCAUCAACGAACAUGACGAACUUGUAUUGCUGUUUCAUCGCAUUUACUAAGUAAAUGUCUUACCAUUACCAUGAAGGACAGUUUAGGGAAGGCAACAGUCUAAAAUUGAAAUGAUUUUAAUGACUCAAAAUGGUUAAUUUCUCAGACAUUGCUAACGUUUCUUUCAAUUUGACAAAAGUUAAAACCGGAAGUUUGCGAUAUUUUAAAGUACGAAUAAUUCCGGAUUCAUUUCCGGGAUUUGUUUUGUUUAUCAAAUUAACAGGAAAUCACCGGCUUUUUUAUUUUAUUACCUUUAAAGGUGUUUGAAUAUAACAGAUAAUAGUUGCACUCGUUUAAUUUAGCAUGAAAUCAAUUUGCAUUUUACGAUUAAAUAUUAAAUUUGCUGAAGACAAUUUCACGCAUGCGUAUUCCAUAGUAAAUAAAGCACAUGUGUUACUCAUGAAAAAAUACUUUUUUCUACGUAAAUUUAGAUUUAAUUUUUAAAUCAGAAUUGAUGACUGUCUUUGAUGAAAAGUAAAUAAAUAAUGAAUACACAUGUCAGGGAACUUUAAUGUUUUAAAGAUAUUAUUCUGAGCUUGUGAUCACUGUCAGGUGUGAAUUAAAACCACAGGUAAAAAGUGAUUAGUGAUCAUUAGCCAAUGUUUCCCGGAGGCAUUGGUAUAGAUAUUAGGAGGGCCCUCAGGAUUAUCAAACUAUCUAGUGGCAGUUUUAUUACAGGAAAGGGAUUAUAAACAAAAACAAGUGAUCACAAGUGCAAAAUGGCGAUUACGAAAUCCGAUUUCAAACAUUGAGUCAAUGAAAUGACCGAAAUUACUUCUGUAAAAAAUUAAAUUUGUCCUAAAUCCCAAUUACUCGUUUAGGACAAAUAGUUUCAUCUUAGGACACGACUGGCAAAUAUGAUCGUUUCCGGACCCUUGAUGUACAUGUAAUAUUAGCACAAACUAGUACAAUUUAAGUAAUUAUUUACAGCUUGUCUUGCAGUCUGCUCCAAACCAGUUAAAAAUCUUUAGUAUUUAGGUGUCGACAACAGCAUUAAUUUAUAUAUAUACUAGAAUUGAUUUUAAUCUUCAUCCUGGAAGAUUCUAGGAGUUGCUCAAAUAGAUGAGUAUCUUACGCUGUACAUUUAGGUGCCAAGCUUUGUUAAUUUUAGGCUGGAAGCAUUAUGACAACAAUUUCAUUUGCAUAAAACCAUUGGCCCUACUGGUUGCUGGGCUACUGUUGAUUCCAAAUUAUGGUUGAUAUUUAUUAAUGAAAAUUAUAGUACAGGUUGAAUUUCAGUUAGCAUGAACACUGGGACUAAUUUGAAAUGUUAUGCUUUUAAUUAUGAGGGUACCUAGAUGUUGUUAAGCAGCUUGUUUGUGUUUUUUUUUUUGUUUUUUUUUUUUGUGUAACACAGGUCAUCCUUUAUAACUUGUUUGUUGUCCUAACAGGAGACAUUUACCAUGUUUACUUUGCAUAAUCUAGGCCUUCUUAUGAUAAUCCAAGUUUCAGAUCAACUAGACCUCAAAUGGAAAUAAGUUUUCAUUUGGGCAACCUGGUUCAAACCCAAGACGAGACAGAGAGUGGUUGCUGCUGUUAUACUAAAUGUUUGUUUCUUCUUACAUGGAUUUAGACUCUAGUAUACAGGUCCUCAUAGUCAUUCUUUGAAAUUUGCAUUUGCCUGAGUUGAUCCAGUUCUUCUUGCCUUGUAUUUAUGGGCAGUUUUAUAACAUUAUAAGAAAUUCACUUCUACAUAGACAUCUUACACAUUCAGGUAUUUCCCAUCCAAUCUUUUAUGGUAAUAUACUUUACAAAGUACAAAAUGUCAGUUUACCUCAAAAGCUAACAAAACAUUAAAGCAAACUUAUAAAGAAGGAAUACUGUUGCCUGCAUAAAAAAUGGCAUAUUUUGGCUUCAAUAUUGAUUCACUUGCACAGUCUUUGCAUCGGACAAAAACUCAUUUAUUCUUAAACCAGUUGCUGGUUGAUACGGGUUAUGUUCCUCUAAUAUAUCAUUAUGUUAUGAUGAUAUGAUACUAAACCCCCAUUGGAGGGAUGGUGCUAGAUAUUUCAUAUAAUGGAGACAUAAUCUUUCGAACAGUUAAAUUGAGGUCUGGAGCUGGCAUGUCAGUAACUGUUAGUAGUCCAUUGUUGAUUUAUGUAAUGUCGUCAUUUUUCAAAUUUUGUUUUGUUUGUUUUGUUACCUAUUCUGAUAUUGGACUCGGACUUCUUUAAACUGUGUGAUUUUUACUGUGCGUAUUGUUGUGUGUUUGUUUGUUCUGCAUUUGGUUGAGAUUUUAAAUAACUUGUUUAACCCCUCCGCAAUUUAGUACCUGUUCCAAGUCUGGAGCCUCUGGCCUAUGUUAGCCUUGUAUGAAUUUUUAUUUUAGUUCAUAUAUUUUGGAGUUUAGUAUGACAUUCAUUAUCACUGUUCUGGUACAAAUUUUUCAUUAUGGCUGAAGCCAUUUCUGGUUUUUAGGUGGAUCGCUUCAGAUGCUUGGUCCCAACUGCAGAUGUUUAUCCUGCUAUUACCCCACGGGUUUUAUUACUGUUAUUUCAGACCUUUAGUAACCGUUUAAUUGCAAGUUCCACAGCACCCAGUACAUACAGAUGUAUCAGAGAGGACAGUCUUUCUUUUUUCAUGAGUUCAGAUCUCUAAUUGUUUUAAUGAAUACAUUUCCUAUCUCUCUCUAUGAAUUGUUAAGGUAUUGCUUACUUGUACAUUUUGUAUCUCUCUCAACAAAAAUUGUGACAUAACUUUUACUAGGUUUGGAUAUUUUUUUAGGAAAAUUUAACAGAUGUGUCAAAAAAAAAAAUUGAGGUUUGUCAGUUUUUAAGAAGGUAUUAAACACUCCAGGCUUUACAUUUACCUUAACCAGAGUCAUGCUGAAGUCUAGCAAAUAUUUCCUUAUCUUGUUGUUGGCUAAACUUGGUAUGAAUUCAGUGUGUUUGAAGCUGUCUUUUCAAUUGUUUUUGAGGAUUAUUAAAGGGUCGGAGAUCCAAUGCUGACAACUUAAGACAGGGGUUACAGAAGAAUUAUUAUUUUUCUCGAUUAAUUAUGCUUUAAAUUGUAUUGGUAUUACAUAUGUAACAUAUAAUUCCAUGUAGCUAUUUGCUGUACAAGAAUUGUAGGAGAUCCUAUUAGCUUUAAUGUUCGGAUAGUAGAAUCCUCAAUAGUAAGUAUGUUUUUGUAGCAGACCGACAUCCUCCAGAUGGGGUUGACUUAGGUCUAGGCACGGAAAUGAAUCUUUGUGAUGGCAUGAUUGUCAAGCAUGUUAAAAGUUAACUCAGAACAUGAAACUAUGAGGAUCCACCAUAUUUCUUAAUAAAACAUGUAGCAGGUAAUGACACAGGUAGUUCUAGAGUGGGAUUUUUGCACAAUGAGACGAAGAACAUGAUCAGAUGGAUUAUGCUGUUCAUCAAUUCUUAAGUAAGUAUGGUCUCAAAUUUGACCAGGUUAUUGCAAAGCAUGGACUUGUGUUGCUAUAGAAUAUACAACUAUAUUAUUGCCUUUAUAAUUAGCUGUCAGGGUUGCUACAUAAAAUAUUAUGAUUUUCGAUCAGACCAGAAAUUUUUCAACUGGAUGUUUUUCACUUGUCACCCUUAACAUGCUUAUGAAAUGAAUUGUUAAACAUCUUGAAUAUAUAUUUGAUGAUAUACUAUAAUAUACUAUAUUUUAUGGUAUACAAAUACAAUCAACUAUCUUAGGGUUUGGUGUAGUUUUGGUUAGUAUUUUUAUCUGUGUAGGUAAAUAUGUUUUUGAACAGUUGUUCACAAAACAUCAUAUAGAUUAUUUAACAUAUAUAUGUACCAAGUUGUACUUUGAAUAAAAAUAUCUAUCUA
This is a long non-coding RNA of Mytilus californianus (California mussel), 5462 nucleotides long. RefSeq lists it as uncharacterized. The transcript has 2 exons. The record is from RefSeq and is a predicted model, not a curated record. Lineage: Eukaryota; Metazoa; Mollusca; Bivalvia; Mytilida; Mytilidae.